Molecule: ribosomal RNA, 705 nt
Filed under: Austrochlus parabrundini
Lineage: Eukaryota; Metazoa; Arthropoda; Insecta; Diptera; Chironomidae
Description: bacterial SSU rRNA
Rfam family: Eukaryotic small subunit ribosomal RNA
Source: RNAcentral
AUNGGNAGUUAAUUAUAAUCCUUUUACKRGGAUCUAGUGGAGGGCWAGUCGCCAGCAGCCGCGGUAAUUCCAGCUCCACAAGCGUAUGUUAAAAUUGUUGCGGUUAAAACGUUCGAAGUUCAUUUUUGUCCAGUACGGGUGUUGCACCAUCAAGUAAGGGUCGCAGAUUCCGAUUACUUGGACUAUAUGACUGAACACUAAAUGAGCGUGAUACCUUUACUAGGUUAAACGUCAUUAAGAAAAGCUCGGUUUAUUUAAAAUUUUAGGUUUGAUACAGAUCAAGAGGUAAUGAUUAAUAGAGCAUGUAAUAAAAGGCUCGGUCUUAUUUUUCAUUGGUUUAUACAGUCAAGAGGUAAUGAUUAAUAGAAGCAGUUGGGGGCAUUAGUAUUGCGGCGCGAGAGGUGAAAUUCUUAGACCGUCGCAAGACUAGCUAAAGCGAAGGCAUUUGCCAAGGAUGUUUUCAUUAAUCAAGAACGAAAGUUAGAGGAUUGAAGACGAUUAGAUACCGUCCUAAUUCUAACCAUAAACGAUUACAGCCAGCAAUUGGAUGUCGCUACUAUUAUGGCGCAUUCAGAGCUUCCGGGAAACCAAAGCUAGUUCCGGGGGAAGUAUGGUUGCAAAGUUGAAACUUAAAGGAAUUGACGGAAGGGCACCACCAGGAGUGGAGCCUGCGGCUUAAUUUGACUCAACACGGRAAAACUYACC